This 73-nucleotide transfer RNA is filed under the name Canis lupus familiaris (dog). It matches the Rfam family "tRNA". Rfam says of the family: Transfer RNA (tRNA) molecules are approximately 80 nucleotides in length. Their secondary structure includes four short double-helical elements and three loops (D, anti-codon, and T loops). Lineage: Eukaryota; Metazoa; Chordata; Mammalia; Carnivora; Canidae. The record is from Rfam by way of RNAcentral. RNAcentral also lists the same sequence under 1 other name.
GCCUGGCCGGCUCAGUCGGUAGAGUGUGUGACUCUUGAUCUUGGGGCUGUGAGUUCAAGCCCCAUGUUGGGUA